AUGAACAUCGCCCUCUUGACCCGCUGGCUCUGGCGCAUCGCCAAUGGGGACGGUGGCCUCUGGCUUACUAUCAUCCAGAACAAGUACCUGCGUGGACAGCCACUGGCGUUCUGCCAACGCUCGGGCGGUUCCCAGUUUUGGCAGGCCGUCGUCCGGCUGCUUCCGGUCUUACGUAUAGGCACUUCCAUCUCUGUGGGCUCUGGAGCUUCGACCUUGUUCUGGCUGGACAAGUGGCUCGGAGGCUCCCCUCUAGCCGCCCGGUUCCCCAUCCUCUUCGACAUUGUAGUUGACCCUCGGGUCUCAGUCGAGGCGGCCCUUAUUGACUUAGGGCGCCUCGCGUUCCGCCGCCCUUUUGGCCCCGCUGAGGUGGCUGCCUGGGAUGUCCUCCUCCAGGACAUCGCCCUGCUACCUAUGGACGUGGCAGAUUCUUCGGACUCCAUCUCCUGGCGCCUAGACCCCUCCGGCCGCUUCUCCACCAAAUCCCUCUACGCGGCCAUUGCCCCUUCGUCAGCCCCGGAGCCCUUUGGUCUUAUCUGGGACAUCCGCCUCCCACUUAAGAUUCGGAUCUUUCUUUGGCAAUGGAUCCGCGGCCGCCUCCCGGCCGGCGUUGAGGUUCUUAAGCGCCAUGGUCCUGGCGAUGGAAUGUGCCCCCUGUGUGGCACGGUAGAGGACGCUAAUCACAUCUUCUUCCUGUGCUACACGGCACAGUUCCUUUGGUCUUGUUUCCGCGAAACGGUUGGGGGACAGUGGUGCAACACCAACUUCCCUGACCUGCAUGCGGAAAUUCAAGCCUCCCCCCUCGCUACAGACAUAUUAGAUGGCUGUGCGUCGGGGUUCUAG
This 840-nucleotide ribosomal RNA is filed under the name Triticum aestivum (bread wheat). RNAcentral describes it as "partial small subunit ribosomal RNA". Lineage: Eukaryota; Viridiplantae; Streptophyta; Magnoliopsida; Poales; Poaceae. The record is from RNAcentral.